GAUGAACGCUGGCGGCGUGCCUAAUACAUGCAAGUCGAGCGAACAGACGAGGAGCUUGCUCCUCUGACGUUAGCGGCGGACGGGUGAGUAACACGUGGAUAACCUACCUAUAAGACUGGGAUAACUUCGGGAAACCGGAGCUAAUACCGGAUAACAUCUUGAACCGCAUGGUUCAACAGUGAAAGACGGUCUUGCUUUACCUUAUAGAUGGAUCCGCGCCGCAUUAGCUAGUUGGUAAGGUAACGGCUUACCAAGGCAACGAUGCGUAGCCGACCUGAGAGGGUGAUCGGCCACACGGGAACUGAGACACGGUCCAGACUCCUACGGGAGGCAGCAGUAGGGAAUCUUCCGCAAUGGGCGAAAGCCUGACGGAGCAACGCCGCGUGAGUGAUGAAGGUCUUCGGAUCGUAAAACUCUGUUAUUAGGGAAGAACAAAUGUGUAAGUAACUAUGCACGUCUUGACGGUACCUAAUCAGAAAGCCACGGCUAACUACGUG
Molecule: ribosomal RNA, 497 nt
Filed under: uncultured bacterium
Lineage: Bacteria
Description: partial 16S ribosomal RNA
Rfam family: Bacterial small subunit ribosomal RNA
Source: RNAcentral